AAUGGGCAACUUCUUUGUGUUGCAAGGUGAAAGAAUGCAUACUCGAGCCGACAUCACUUUCCAUCUUCGGCACUCUCAGCGUGACCUUUUGGGUGCUAACCUAUGACAGAAUUAUUAGUUAAUCCUUACAUUUAUUACUUAUUAGUACUUUAACAUAUAUUAGUUAAGUUUGAGAAAGCUAUGGGAAGUGAGCUACGGAGUAAUAUUCGUACCUAGUGGUGAAGACAGCUACACAAUAACAAUCCAGAAGAGCAAGAAGGUGGGUUGUUCAGAGUAAAAAUGUUAAAUUUAUUGAUUUUUUAAAAAAUAUUGUUGAAUAAAUUUGUUGAGUUUUUUUAUAUAUAUAUUGAUAAAAUAUGUAAAUAUUAUAGAGUUAAAUUUAUUAUUAAGCUAAUAAAAUAACCCACAUCAACUCCUCCAUCACUUAUCUAACUACGACUUAGGGGGAGUGAAUAAAAUAUUUAAUUUCAAAAAUUUUAGUGAUUAAAUUAAAAAAUUAAUAAUUAAAUAAUUAAAAUAGUUAAUGAAUAUUUUUGUACUUUACCUUUCUUUCUACAACAUUUUGAAAUUGUUUAGCAGAAUUUUCAUUGUUGGAUUCUAAAUCCAAAACAUUUGGGCUUUCUCUUAUAGAUAAUGCAAUUUAGCCCAAAAACAACUUGGGUUUCUUCCAUAAAUAAUCAUUAAAAAAGGAAAGAAUCUAACAAUUCCAGGUUCCGUAGAAGGUAUGGGAGUCGCAUAAACUUUCUUAAAAAAAAAAAAAGACCCCCGAAAAAGACUGCUUCGCUUUCUCGAAUUUUCCUUCUCCGUUUAUCCCUUUCUCUAAAUUUUCUUCCGAUAGAAACUAAUUUUGUUUUCCCCUUUUUCUUCGGGGUAAAAAGAACCUUUUUCUCAUAUAAAUCAUUGAUUAGCUCGAAUUUCGAUCCAUUAUGGUAUGUUUCUCUAUUACCCUUCUCUAAUAUUUGAUCUAAUGAAUCAGUUGCAUGAUUUUUCUUCUCUUUUUGUAUUUCAUUUCGAUGAAUUAUUGUUAAAUACAGACAAUUAUAAUGGAACAGAAUGUUAAAAAUGCUCUUUCUGAAUGUUUGUUUGGAUGUUUUUAGUUUGCUUGUAAACUUUUAGGUAAUUCAGAUUCGUGAUGCAACAAUAACUUGGUUAGUAAUUUCCUGAUAAUCUGCUACAGAAGUUAUGGAUGUUAUUGUCUUGGACAUAAUCUUGUUUCAAAUUAAAAUGAUCUGGUUCAACUUUUUGCUCUCUUUUAGUAUCAAUUUGAAUUUCGGUUUUUGAUUUUGCAAGCGAGUAAUGUAAUCCGAAAGAGUAGGUCAGUUUACAGGGUGUAGUCGAGCUCGAAUCAUUCGAAACUCGAUCUGAAAUGCAAGGCUCAAAGCUCAACUUGAGUUUGAUUGAAUUUUGCUUUUAUAGCUGAAGCAAUUUGAGAUAAUAGUCGAACUGGAUGAGCUUACUCAAUUAAAGUAAAAUAUAAGCUCAGUUUCUAUACUCAAGUUUGGAUUUGAAUUGAAACAUUUAAUAGUAAUUAAAAAGAAAAAGCUCGAUUAAGCUCUUAAACUACUUGAGUCAAAUACUCAAAAUCAGCUCUUACACUAGCUCAAGAUUUGGUCAAGCUGAAUUCAAGUUUUUUCAAGCUGAGGCCAAACAGCUUUUGUAAUACAAGUGUUUCUUUUGCUCUCUUAGAUCUACUAAGGUUGGAGCUUAGUUUUUAGUGCUCUUAAAACCCGAAACUUGAGUGGUUUUGCUUGUUGUGUAUGUCACUUCUUGCUUCAAUGUCUCUAUCUAUCUUUCUUUUCUUAAUUUUGAUGUUAUAGGGUGUCUCUGUUUUUGUUUGCUAUAGUUUGUCAUAGGCAUCAGCUUCCUUAGUUUUGGACUCUAUAUUCAUUUUAUUUUUAAGAAUCCAAAUGGAUCCCAAUUCCCAAAUGAGUCUAGUUACAUUAGGUUUUAAAUAGGUUUAAUGCUUAGUUUUCCCAAACCACCAAAUCGGGCAUUAAAGUGAGUUGUUGUUAGAAUGAUUAGGGUAGCAUCAUUAUUCUAUCAAGCCAUACAAGUUCAUUGCUAGUUAUAGCAGUGAUAUUUCUUAAAUUAUAGGUGAUGCAAGUCACGAAUGUGUUCAACCUGAAAGUGAUCGAAGGACAAAAUAGAGGUAACAAUAUCUUACAUUGAACCACAGACAUGCAACUUUGAAUUGAAAGAAUCAGUUCCAGAUAAAAUUAAAUUCUAAACAAGGUUUUAGGAAGUUUGCAGUAAGCUUUAUUGAGCUGUCUUGUGGUUCUUUCUCUGUGUUCUGGUUCUAUUUAAGUGUUGUCUGGUGUCUUGAUUUUAAGAAUUCUGGAAUUUGAAAUACUGUAUUCUUGCUUGAUAAAACUAUUCAGGGAAGAGAGAAUGUUGCAAUGGGUGAGUGUAAAAUAGUUAAAACUUUACAUUUUCUUUUUAGGCUUUUUUCCUUUGUAUUAUCAUUCUUCUUUGCUUAUCCGUAUAUCUUUAAAUGUAGGCUGCGAAGAUUCUUGCCAACUUAAUUGUAAUGGGCUCCGGUAUAUUGGCUCGGGCCGUUGUUCAGGCAUACCGUCAAGCACUUUCAAGUUAGUUCUUUACUGCAGUACUAUUAUUCCAUGUACAUAAUGUUAACUUUGCUUGAACAUUAGGAGCUUGCUUUUAAAAAUGGAGCAAUUGUAUGGUAUAAUCAUCCAAGCAGACUCUGAUUAUUGUGAAAAGGGUUUGUUUGUUAUUUCUGCUUGCUUGUUGCUGUUGUAUUGUGUGGUGCAGAUGGACUUUCUAGUUUCUUCAACCGUAGUGCCUUUUAUAUUGAGGUUGCAGCGGUUGUGGCUCUUGCAAUACUAGAGUUUUGAGGUCACGGUAGUGUAAAGAGACAGGGAUCAACUAGUAAAAUGUGCAAAACAGAAGCUUAGAAAGAUAAGACGACAACCUCGCUAGGGCUUGUCAACCUCACAUGGGGUUGGGCAAUAACAACAGAACAUACCUGGGACUCUGAUCCCAAGUAAAACAUCCAUUGUAAAACUAAUGGUCAAUAGGUGAAGGGACUCAACUUUAAUAUGAGUCCACAGGAAACCUUAUUUAACAGAUGUGGGAUAACACCACUUAACACUAGUGAGCUAAUUGUCUUUGAUGUUGAUUUGCUCACGGUGAUGUCUUCAUUAAAGAAGUCCCGUGAGGAAAAUUGGUUUAGGAUCAACAUUCUAUUGUUAAUUUUAACAAAUAACAGUAAGCUUGUUUACUCUCAUGUUUGCUUUAUACGCAUCAAUCUUCUGAAUAGUAAGUUUGUUGUAGAUGCCACCAAAUCUGGUGUUACCCAUGAGACACUACAAAACGCAGUUCGUAGAGGUGGCAAAGUCAUGACCGAGCAAGAGGCCAGGCUGAUUCUUGGUGUAAGCGAGGAGACUGCUUGGGAGGAGAUAUUAAAGGCUAGUUUGUGUAUCUCUUUUCUUAACGUUUUCUGUUAUGUUUGUCUCAAGCAAGUUUUGAACUUCUCCCAUUACUUAAUUGCAGAAGUAUGAAAUUUUAUUUGAGAAGAAUGCCAAGAAUGGGAGCUUCUACCUUCAGUCAAAGGUUCAUAGGGCUAAGGAGUGCUUAGAAUCUGUCUAUCAAGGCAAAGCAGAGGGCAAUCCUCCGAGUUGAGAACUCAUCAAGGUUAGCUCAUUGUACAUUGGGAUGCCUGCCUGAAUACUAAUUCUAGUCUAACGCAAAUACUUGCUGCAAUUUUGUGUCCUAAGUUCUCAAUGUUGAAUUGGUUGAGUGGUUGCAAAUAAUAACUUAAGGUUUCUUAAACUAAUCUGUUUCCUGUGGUCGUUGCCAUGCUGCUUGUUAGAUUAAUACAGAGUAGAUUACUUCAAUCUUAAAAUACAAGUCUAUGUUAUUCAGACUCGAAUGUAUAUACGGGUUUGAUAUGGAUAUACAUUAGACAUGUGCUGAACACUGGUACUUCAAGAAAAAUCAAGAACAUGAAGAGUAAAAAUAUGAGAAACUACAAGUAUAUAAAUAAUAGCUGAGUUAAUUCAGUUUAGUUUGAGUGAGUUAUUCGUGUGUUCAACUGUCCUCUAUGAUUUUCCAGUAUCUUUCAAUUGAUUCUUUAAACAUUUAUUUCACCCUUAAUUAGUCGGAAUAUUUACUAGUUUAAAUGUGCCAAAGGUGGUUGUAUUUUAAUGAAAUUUUAAUUUUAAUCCCGCACAAGCCAUUGAGCAUUUGUACUAAUUUCGAUUUUGCAGUCUUAGUUCUACUGAUGGAGUAAUUAUAAAAAUGGCAUAAUCGAACCAUCUCUUCUGACUCUUUCUUUUUCUUUGAAGAAGUGCUUGAUUUUUUAAAUAAUAAUAAUAAAAGUUUUUCAUAUUUUCAAUAAAAAAAUCUUUAAAUUUUAUAAUAAAAAAAUUCCAAGAUUAUGAAAAAAAUAGUCUUUAAAACUUCUAAAAUUUUAAAUUAAAUUUUAAAAAAAAAGUUCUACGAAUUCUAAAAAAUGUGUAUUCUGUGAAUGAUAAUAGAGUUCUUUCUAAGUAUUAGCCAUUCGUAUGAAACCAAAUUUGAAUAAAUAAUUUUUUUUAAUUCAACUUAAAUCAGUUGUAUAUCGAAAACGUAUUUUGGAGGAUCUUAACGAGGAAAGUGGAAAUUAAGUUUUGUAUCUAUUGAGAAUAAUCUGGGUACUUACUUUUUAGUAAAUAAUAGGAACAAAUAUAUUGCAAAAAGAAAUAUUGAAGAUUCUGCGACCUUUAAGAUUUCUGUCUUCUCUUUUCCUUUUUCUCCCUUUCUUUUUUAUUUAUCCUUAUAUUAUUUUUAAUUCAAAUUAUCUGUACCAUUUAAUAAUAUUAAUUUUCAUUUAUCUAUACAAAUAAUUUAUAUUAUUAUUUAAGCACGCGACUGAAUUAGUGUCAUAAAUUAACUCAAUACAAAUUCAGUCAAUGAAAUUACUAACAUAACCUUACAUAUUUUAAAUAAGUUAUAUUAUUAUAAUUGUACUUUUAUCUUUUUCUUAAUUUUAAAAAGUUACCGAUGUUGAGAUUUAAACUCAUUCUAGCAGCAUCAGUAGGAGUUUUUAUUUACCACUUUAACCAUAAUUUUAAAUAUCAUAACACAAAUUGUUUUAUCCAAUAUCUAUCUAUAUUAUUAUUUAAGUGUGUGACUAAGUUAGUAUUACAAGUCAAUUCGAUAAUAUCUCGAUCAUUGAAAUUAUUAAAAUAACCUUACAUAUUUUCAAUAGGUUAUAUUAUUACGAGAAUCCAUUCGAAGCUUAUUUUAAAAACUCAAUAAAGAAGUUAGAAAUGUUGAUAUCAUGUCACCACCAUUUAUAAAAUAUUUUCCUUACCAUUUUAACCGAAUUUUUUUUUAUAUAUAUUUUUUACAUUUCAAUGUUAUUACACAUUGUUUCGUACAAAUUAUAUAUAUGUUGAUAACGUCAUUGAUUGAGUUGAACACAAUAUCAACUCAAGAAAAAUGGGAAUACUAUGAUAAAAAAUUGGAGAGCAUUUAAUAUUCUUAAUUAAUGCAUUUACCUAUUUAAAUUUCUUUUUACUUACAAUUUAAAUUAAUUUUUUAUUUUAAUUUUCUACGUAUUUCAUAUAUUGUUAUUAGUCUCAAAAUAAAGCUUCAUUAUUUAUUAUAUGUUAUUUUUAAAUGCAUACUUAUAUUCAAUAUACAUUAUAUUCAUAUACAUACGCAUGCGAUAAAAUUUUUAGUAGUAUACUAGUAAAAUUUUCUCACUUGUAGUUUAUAAAUUAAGACUAACAUUAUGUUUGGUUGGGGAAAUGGAAUAAGGUUUUCCUUUGUUUACAGUUGAACAGUAAACCAACAGUGUGAGCAAUUCAACGGAAUACCAUUUCAGUUCUAUUUGUUAAAAAUACUAAAUAUGAAUCCAGUGCCUCCCCAUAUAAUAGCAAUGUGAUGAAGAUAAUGAACAACUUAACUUUUUUUCUUACCAAUAUACGUUUCAAAAAUUUAUAAUUUUUCAAGCAUAAAUAUAACAUAAAAAAAAAAAGCAGUCAUUGUUUUCUCACUUUUUUUGCAAAACUCAUUCACUCUUAAUCUUUCUCUGUGAGAAUGUGAAUUCAUAAAUUUAAGGAGAGUAAAGUUGAAAGCACCAAGGUUAAUUUGUGGAUGGUUUUCAAUUUCCAAGGGAGAUGCAAAGUGUUGAGGUAGUUUUUUAGCAUUGCCUUAAUCAGUCCUGGACCAGUGCUAAUUGGAUGUGAUUGUCAUGUCAUUUUUUUGUUCUUUCUUUGAAUAUAUUGGCAUUCCCGCAAGAAAACAUUCUCGAUUUUGUCAAUUCAUCAAGUUGUAACAUUUUUUUCCCCAACAUGUUUCAGAUCUAGAUUGAGUUGCUUGAAAGCCCAAUAAGCUCUAUGCUCAAGCUCCGAUGGUAGGUGGUAAGCUUUUCCGAACACUAAUCGAUAGUGUAACAUCCCUAAAGGAAUUUUGAAUGUUGUUCGAUAAGCUCAUAAAGCAUCAUCAAGUCUCCUGGACUAAUCUCUGCGAUUCAGACGUACCAUUUUUUUCAGUAUGCCUUUUAUUUCUUUAUUUGUCAGCUCAGCUUGCCCAUUUGUCUGUGGGUGGUAAGCCGUAGCAACCUUGUGGUUUACACCAUACUUAUCAAGUAACCACUUCAGCCACUUAUUCACAAACUGAGAUCCCUCAUCGCUAAUUAUAACCCUUGAAGUCCCGAACCUAGCAAAUAUAUGAUUAUGCAGGAAGCGCAUGACCACCUUGGAAUCAUUCGUCUUAUAUGCCUCGGCCUCUACCCAUUUCAACACGUAAUCAACAGCCACCAAAAUGCACAUAUUACCAUAUGAUAGAGGAAAUUUACCCAAAAAAUCAAUACCCCGCACGUUAAACAAUUCAAUUUCAAGGAUGUUAUUCAAAGACUUCUCAUUUCUCCUUGAAAUAUUUCCAACUCGUUGGCACUGAUCAAAAUUCCUCACAUAGGCAUGUGCAUCUUUAAAUAAAGUGGGCCAAAAGAACCUGACUUGUAAUACCUGAGUCGCACUAUGUGUCCCCCAAAUCGUCCCCCACAUGGAGAUGGAUGACAAUAGUAAAGGAUAUUGCGUACCACACUUUCAGCCAUACACCUUCAAAUUAUUUGAUCUACACAUUGCUUGAACAAAUAUAGUUCCUCCCCAAAAUAGAACCAUACAUCAUGUAGGAAUUUCUUCCUUUGUUGGUAUAUCAUCUCGGGCGGCAUUAGUCCACUAGCCAAAAAGUUAUCAAAGUCAGCAAACCACGGAAUUUCAUGUAUGACUACUUCAAAGAUGUGUUCAUUCGGGAAACAUUCAUUAUUAAGAACAAAGGAGUGAGUUUCCUCUUGAUGCUCCAAUCUUGAUAGAUGAUUUACCACCUAGUUUUCCACCAUCUUUCUAUCCUGAAUCUCAAGAUUAAAUUCUUGGAGUAAAAGUAUCCAUCGAAUUAAUUUUGGCUUAGCAUCUUUUUUCGUGAGCAAAUAUUUAAUGGUCGGGUGAUUAGUAUAAACUGUCACCUUAACCCCUACAAGAUAAAAACGAAAUUUAUCAAAGGCAAAUACAAUAGCAAGUAACUCUUUUUCUGUUACCUUAUAGUUUAACUGUGCUCUUUUCAAGGUUUGGCUUGCAUAAUAGAUGGAAUGAAUAAAUUUGUUCCUUCGUUGCCCCAUCACAACUCCUACUGGGAAGUCACUUGCAUCACACAUCAACUCAAAAGAAGAACUCCAGUCUGGUGUAAUAAUAAUUGGUGUUGAGGUUAAUCAGCUUUUCAAAUCGUCAAAAACUUUCAAACACUCCUCAUCAAAGUUGAAUGUUGUAUCUUUAUCCAACUCGUUGGCACUGAUCAAAAUUCCUCACAUAGGCAUGUGCAUUUUUAAAUAAAGUGGGCCAAAAGAACCUAACUUGUAAUACCUGAGCCGCACUAUGUAUCCCCCAAAUCGUCCCCCACAUGGAGAUGGAUGACAAUGGUAAAGGAUAUUGCGUACCACACUUUCAGCCAUACACCUUCUAAUUAGUUGAUCUACACACUGCUUGAACAAAUAUAGUUCCUCCCAAAAAUAGAACCAUACAUCAUGUAGGAAUUUCUUCCUUUGUUGGUAUGUCAUCUCAGGCGGCAUUAGUCCACUGGCCAAAAAGUUAUCAAAGUCAGCAAACCACGGGAUUUCAUAUGUAUGACUACCUCAAAGAUGUGUUCAUUUGGGAAACAUUCACUAUUAAGAACAAAGGAGUGAGUUUCCUCUUGAUGCUCCAAUCUUGACAGAUGAUUUGCCACCUAGUUUUCCACCCUCUUUCUAUCCUGAAUCUCAAGAUUAAAUUCUUGGAGUAAAAGUAUCCAUCGAAUUAAUUUUGGCUUAGCAUCUUUUUUCGUGAGCAAAUAUUUAAUGGUCGAGUGAUUAGUAUAAACUGUCACCUUAACCCCUACAAGAUAAAAACGAAAUUUAUCAAAGGCAAAUACAAUAGCAAGUAACUCUUUUUUCUGUUACCUUAUAGUUUAACUGUGCUCUUAUCAAGGUUUGGCUUGCAUAAUAGAUGGAAUGAAUAAAUUUGUUCCUUUGUUGCCCCAUCACAACUCCUACUGGGAAGUCACUUGCAUCACACAUCAACUCAAAAGGAGAACUCCAAUCUGGUGUAAUAAUAAUUGGUGUUGAGGUUAAUCAGCUUUUCAAAUUGUCAAAAGCUUUCAAACACUCCUCAUCAAAGUUGAAUGUUGUAUCUUUAUCCAACAAUUUGGAUAGAAGUUUGGAGAUUUUAAAAAGUCUUUGAUGAACCUCCAAUAGAACUCAGCAUGUUCCAAAAAACUCCUAAUGCCUUUUACACAUAUAGGUGGAAGGAGCUUCUUGAUAACAUCUAUUUUUGCCUUGUCAACUUUUAUUCAUUGUCUUGUUAUUUUAUGCCCCAAAAUAAUAUAUUUCUUUACCAUGAAAUGACAUUUCUUCUAGUUGAGGACAAGGUUCAUUUCUUUGUAUAACACCUCCUAACCCCAAACUGUAGCCGAAACAGGGUUAUGAGGCAUUACAGAACAUUCGAUCAAUUUACGAGCAAUUCACAAGUAAAUAACAAACAUAUAAAAAUUAAAUCAUAAAAUCUCUUUUAAUGGACCCUCGAGGUUAAAUCACAUAUUAAAAAAGGAACGGGACUCGUUCGAGUACUCCAAAUUUUCUUUUUUUUUUAAACUCAAUAUAUCCCCUUUAUAAACAUUUAACCUUCCCUGCAAUUUUCAAACAACAACCAAUCCAAAACCAAUGGCACAACCAAAAACAAUUUAAACUCAAAUAUACCUAAAUCAUGACCAAUUCAUUAACAUAGUAAAUUAAUAACUAAACAUUCAUAAUAUCAUUCAAAAUUAACUAAUAAAUUCAUUCAUUUUUCAUUCUAACUUAAUGUCAAAUUAUAUAAUAUAAUCUUUACCAUUUUAUUAAACUAAUAUCAAAAUAUGGUAUACCAUUUUUACAACCAACAUUACAAGCAUAUCUAUAUAACCUAUACAACUCCUAGUACAUGCCACUUUCAAUUAAGAGAGAAAACAUCACCAAAAUUUAUGCUGGAGUCGGGAUCGUUCGGAUGUUGGAUCGGGACUCUUGACUUCUACUAACCUGCGCACGGAAACAACCGUACGAUGAGUAUUUUAUACUCAGUGGUAUUACCAUAAUUCAAACUAUAAUAACCAUAAUAAAACAUAAAUAUCAAGUAUAUAACAAUUGAUUUUCUCUUACAUUUAUUCAUUCUUAAAUUAUAUAAGUAUUAACAAUACAUUUUUAACUAUGCAUCAACUUUAAUCAUAUGUCAUAACUUUAAUUACAUUUACUACAUGAACAUUUAGUUCAUGUUUUCCAUUUCCAAUUUCAAUUUCAAUCCACAAUUCAUUUUUGUCAUUUCUUUCAAUAUUUUUAAUAUUACGAUCAAUCAGAUUCAUACAAAUUUCUCAUGUUAGUUAUUCUCCCUAUUAACAAUCUGGACUUUGAUGAAUACACGGAUUCUAACCCAAACACACCAAAACGACACAUUGUACCUAAAACGGUACAUAGUACUUGAUCAGUAUACGACACAUAAGUGUCUGAAACGACACACGAGGUGUCUGAUACGACAUAUAAAAUGCCUGAUAUACGACACAUAAAGUGUCUGAUCAGCAAGGUCGAUAAAUCUCGUACUCUUCCAAAUCCUAUGGCAUGCUAAUUAUAUCCGACUCAGCCCGACUAGUUAAUAGGGUAUUUCAAUUUCACAAUCCAAUUUUCACUUUUAUUUCAAGAAUUCAUUUUCAAUAUCAAUUACACUUUUCCAUUCACUAAUCAAAACGCAAUUCAAUACCAACAGAUACUUUUCUCAUUCAAUUUAAUUUUCCAAAUUCAAUUCAUUAAAGUCACUUACCUUAUUAUUUGCUUACCAUACACACAAUUUAAAUUUAACAUUAAAUAAUAAAUAAUUUGAAUUAUAGUAAUACAAACCAUGAAUCUCCCGUUUUAGUCCUCGAUAGCUUUCUCCUUUCUUUUCGAUGCUGAUGCCUCGGGUUUUUUGUUAGCUAUGGAAAUAAUAAUAAUAAUAAUAAUUACAGCACUAAUUAUAAUAAAUAAUUAAAUUUCUAAUCAAUUCCUACCUUAUUCCCAAUUUAAUCCUAACUAAGUUUACUUACUUUUCUAAUUCAAUUCACACUUUAUUUCUAUUCAAAUUUCAUCCAAACUCAAAUUUAACUAUUAAAUUUCCAGCAUAUUUUCCUAAUUACGAAUUUUCCUCAAUUUUAGUCCCUAAAACGUAAAAUUUAUAGCUUACUUCACAAUUUAAUCCUUUUAUGAAUUCUAACUUGAAUUUCAUUCAUUUAAAUCCCUAAUUCAUCUUUUUGUUCAACAUAAACUAUACUUGAAAACCUAUGAACUUACAAAAUAUCAACUUAAUUCCAUCAAAACCUUGUUUUAAAACUUCUAAAACAUCAAAUUUAAGAGAAAAAGACUUAAUUUAACUUACCAAUUAAACUUCAAGCUUCAAAUCCCUAGUUUUCCCUUUUAUUUUUCUUUCCUAUUCUUUCUUCCCCUGUUCGAAUGGCUUCUGCAGUUCUUUUUGUUUCUUUUACUUCUUUUCUUUCUUUUAUUUCUUUAGUUUCUUUUAUUUACUUUAUUUUAUUUACUUAAUAAUUAAUAUAAUAUAUUAUGUUUAAAUGUUAAGUAAACAAAUUAUUUAAUUACAUUUGUACAUAUUUAUAUUAUUACUCUUGUAUAAAUUUUGUACCAUACAUUUGUCAAUUAUCUUAUUUAUUUAAUAAAAAAUCUAUUUAACAACAAAUAAUAAUGUUACAAAUGUACAUAUAUAUUUUAUUCAUAAAUGUACAAUAUCAUCUAUACCAUACACUUGUAUUAAAUCAUUACCAUGCAUUUGUAUUAAAUCAUUACCAUACAUUUGUCUUUAUUUAACUUAUUUCAUAAUAUAAUAAUUAUUAUAAUUUAUAAUUUAAUAAUAAACCUUAAUCAUUAUUAAUUAAAUAUCAUGUAAUAUCUUCAAUUCAAUCAACUUAUGUCGCCUUAUAUUUAUGAAUUGGCUUAAUUGCCAUUUUUGCCCUUUAUACUUUCUUUUAAUCUAUAAUUCAACUUUUACACCUUAUUCUAUUUAGUCCUUUUUCCUAAUUUCUCUUAAUUAAACUAAAUUCAUCUAAUUAAAACUUAAUUAGACACAUUACUAGACUCAUAAUUACUCCUACUAAUUAUUUACGGACUUGGUUUACUAAGACAGAGGCCCGGUAUUGCACUUUUUCGAUGCCCAUGAAUUUUGGGUCCUUACACUUCGCCUCGUUUCAGUACUUUGGCCAAAUUAUCUAAGCAAUCAUCAUAAGAGUCCCCGAACACUGACAAGUCAUCCAUAAAUACUUCCAAAAUUUUUCAACCAUGUCAGUAAAUAUAGCCAUCAUUCAUCUUUGAAAAGUUGUAAGUGUAUUGCACAAACCAAAAGGCAUUCACCGAAAAGCAAACGUACCAUACAAGCAAGUGAAAGUGGUUUUGUGCUGAUCUUUCGAAUCUAUAAUUCUCUGGUUGUACCCCGAAUAUUCGUCUAAGAAACAAUAGUAGCCUUGCCUUGCAAGUUUGUCUAACAUUUGAUCUAAGAAUAGCAACAUAAAAGGCCCUUCUGAGUUGCUUUAUUUAACUUUCUGUAAUUUAUACAAAUUUGCUAGCCCAUAAUUGUCCUUGUCGGAAUCAGCUCAUUAUUUUCAUUCUCCACAAUUGUAGUGCCUCCUUUCUUUGUCACACUGGACCUGACUUACCCAAGAACUGUCAGACAUGGGAUAAAUAAUCCCUACAUCUAACCAUUUGAUCAUUUCCUUCUUGACCACUUCUUUCAUGAUCGAGUUUAGCCUUCUUUGUCCAUCAACUGUUUCCUUUUUUGUCAUCUUCUAAUAGAAUUUUAUGCAUGCCUCAAAUAUCUGUUAUAGUCCACCUAGUUGCCCUUUUGAAUUUCUUCAAAACCUCAAGAAAUUGUUCUUCUUGAGUUUCAAUCAACUCGGCUAAAAUGAUCACAGGUAAAGUAGAAGAGUUACCUUAAUAAACAUAUUUAACAUGUGAUGGUAAUACUUUUAAAUCCAACUUGGGUGGUUCUUCAAUCGACGUCUUUGGUUGUGUGUAUUCACAAGAUGCUAACUCCAAUGAUUCAAAUCGAGAUUGUGAAGUGAAUCCCUUCAGCUUGGCUUCUAUCAUAGCCAGAUCUUCAUCAUCUUCAUUGUCACUUGGCAGGUCUGAUGCUAAAAUCUGUUCCAACAGGUCAUCCGUAGGGACUAAUGACUCUAUAUCGGUCAUAACAGAAAUUCUUCACUUGCAUCAGGAAAUAUCAUGGCUUUGAAAACAUUAAAGCUUACCUAAUCGUCUUGAACUCGUAUGGUGAGUUCCCCUUUCUAGACAUCGAUUAAUGUUCUUCCAGUUGCUAAGAAGACCUUCCCAAGAUGAUAGGGACUUCUUUAUUUGCUUCAAAAUCCAAAAUAAUAAAGUUAACUGAAAUAUAAAUUUAUCCACACAUACCAGUACAUCUUCGAUCUUCCCUUUCAAAUGGGCUAAUGAUUUGUCUUCCAAUUGAAGUGUAACAGUCAUUGGUCUAACCUCAUCAAUACCUAAUCGCUUAGACACAAACAUGGACAUCAAAUUGAGACUUGCUCCCAAAUCACAUAAUGUCAUUCCACAAUAAGUGUCUCCAAUGUUGCCUAGAAUGGUGAAACUCAUUGGAUCUUUCAUUUUUGGGGGCAGUUUGUUUUGCAAGAAUGCAUUGCACUCCUUUGUCAAUGCCAUUGUCUCAAAUUCCCCCAACCUUCUCUUCUUAAAAAUUAUUUCCUUUAUGAAUUUGGCAUAAUUCGGCAUUUGCUCCAAAGCUUUCACAAGAUGGAUGUUGAUAUGUAGUUGUUUAAGCACGUUUAAAAAGUUCUUAAAUUUAACCUCUUGUUUCUACUUCUGGAAUCUUUGAGGAUAUGGAGGUGGUGGAAUCUUAACUUUAAUCAGAUAGCUUUUUUAUGGUAAUGCUUCUACAGUUGCCGUAGGUGUUGAACUUUCAGGACUAACUUGUUGCAGCAACCUCUUAUUAGAAGCUUCUAUAAAGUGGGGAUUUUAAUAUUCAAUUGAUUUUCCUCUUUUUUCUAAGCAACAACAGGCUCAUAUUCAACCUUAACAACUUUAGGUUCCAACGUUUUUCCACUCCUCAAUGUGACAACUUUGUAAUGCUCUUUGCUUGUACUUCUUAGAUUUUCAGUGUCACUUGGCAAAGUACCUUGAGGUCUACUUUGAAGUUCGUUGGCCAGCUGUCCCAUCUGAUUCUCCAAAUUUCUCAAAGAUGCAUCAUUCUUUUUCAUAUAUGCUUUCAAUAAAUUUUCCAAAUUAUUGGAAGAUUUGGCUUGCGAAGGUUUCUAAUCUUGUUGAGAAAAUCUUGGCAGAUGAUUUAGGCGAGAUUGCAUAUAAGAGUUUCCAGGACCAGUCUCUUGGUUACUCUAUGAGAAAUUCGGGUGAUUUUGCUAUGAAGGAUUGUAGAAAUUUGAUUGCGGACCUAAGCCACUCCUAUUCUGAUUUUGGUUUCCCAUGCAAUAGAUGGAUUAUAGAUUUGAUAAGAAAUUUUUGAACACAUGAUUAUCUCCAUAAUACACACAUGAAAUGUUCUCAAAUUGACUCAGAUGUUGUCCUAUCAGAUUACCAUUGAAACCAUUAGCAGUUAUGUUCUUAAGCAUAGUAGACAUAGAAGAUACUUGAGGUGCCAAAGAAAUAAGUGCAUCAAUUUCAUGUACUCCUGUCACUCUUUUUCCUGUGGCUAUUUGAUUAGUCAGCCACUUCGUAAGCUUCAUUGUAGGACUUAAAAAGAAUAUCUCCAUUAGCUGAAACGUCCACCACCAUUCUUGAAUGUGUAUUAAGACCAUUGUAGAAAGUCUCCAACUAAAUACAAUGUGGAAUACCAUGGUGAGGGUACUUUCGCAAUAACUUUUUGAACCUCUCCCAUACCUCAUACAGAGAUUUAUCAUCAAGUUGUUGAAAUGUAGUGAUCUCAUUUCGAAGCUUGGCAUUCUUACUAGAAGGAAAAUAUUUCAUCAAGAAUCAUUUAGCCAAUUCUUGCCAUGUGGUUACCGAGUUAAACGGUAAAGAAUUCAAUCAUGCUCAUGCUCUAUCCCUCAACGAGUAUAGAAACAACUUCAAUCGUAAAGCAUUUUCGAUCAUUUUAGCCAAUUUUAAGGAGUCGCUUACUUUCAUAAAUAAGCGAAGAUGCAGAUAUAGAUCUUUAGUAGGCAUCCCACUAAAUUGGCCCACAGUUUGUAGCAUUUAAAACGUUAUUUGAUUUAAUUCAAAUUGUGGUGCCUCAAUUUCGGGUCUCACAAUUCUUGGAUUAAGUUCCUUGAAAAGAGGCACAACAUAUUGGCAUAUGGCAUGGUCUCUGUCAUUAGCAACAGGCCGAUGAAAGUAGACGUCUGGUAGAAACAAUUGAGAUGUAAACUUGUUAAAGUUAUGUGACUCAAAUUACUGUUAAAUUAAAUAAGAGAUUACUUUCAAGUCAAGUUAAACAAAAUAUAUUUUCUUUCUAGAAGAUUUAAUAUUUAUUAGUAUAAUAUAUAUUUAUCAUUUAUUAGUAUAAUUUAUUUGACCUACGAAAUUAGCUUAUAAAUAGACUAUUUUACAACAUUAGAAAACACUCUAAUUAAAAAGAUUAGAACUCAUAACACUUUUGGAGAAUUUUGUAUUUAUGUUUUGAUGGUUCUUUGUUUUUUGAGUUUCGGGGUUUAGUUUUAUCUGCAUCUUUUGUAUUCUUCGUUCUUUUGCCAUUAUAGUAAAAUUAUAUUUGCUCGUGAUUUUUUAUCCUCUUUGGACGGGUUUUUCUACGUUAAAUUUGUUUGUUCAAUUUCUCAAUUUCUUUUACUAUUUUUUACUUGUUCGUUGCUUAAUCUGGUCGAUCUCCAACAAAACUAGUUUAUUUUUCUUCUUUACCAAAAAAAUUAAACUAAUUAAAAGAAAUAACACAACAAAACUUUAGGUAUGUGAACGAUUUAUGCAUUAACUUUCUUUUUAACAAUUUGGAAUGAUUUAUCAACUUAAUAGCUCAACUUAAAAUGAUUUUUCAAAUGCUAUUGUAGAUGAAUAUGAUAUUAAUUUAAUUAUUUAAUUGACUUUAUAAAUGUAUAAAUGAAUCUAGAGAAUGUAUAAUAAUUGUUGUUAAAAAAAUUUUGAAUUGCAAUAUUAGAUUUUUUUAGGGCUCAAGACAAGGUGAUAUUAUUUCUUUUUUGAAAAGUCCAAAUUUACUAAACAUCGCCAAACAGAACCAAACCAAACCGCAAUUAUUGAUUUUGGAUAUUUUGAUUUUUAUUCCAUAUAAUUGAAAAUCGAAUGAGUGAUUCGCUUCAAUUUUUAGAUAAAAAUUGAACCGAACCGAAAACACCCCUUGCACCAGCAACUAGCCAAUGCACAAUGUUUUCGCCGAUGUGGUCGAAGUUAGGUAAAACGGAACUGGUGUGAUUGAUAUAGACUGAAAUUUUAGCUGAUGCAAACAAGAGAGCUGAUUGCACUGAUUUAUUACUGGAACGAUACAUAUUAACCAAAACGACUGGAACUGGUGUAGAACCGACAUUGAUUUAAGUUGCUCCUCCUAUGUUAUGAGCUUGUUGAAUCUACUCUCUAGAUCUGGGAGUUUGUUUAUGGAAAAUAAAAGGGUAAACUAUAAAAGGGUCACUCAAUUAUGCUUUUUGUUCUAUUUUGGUCACUAAAUUAUGAUUAUUUUUAAUUAGCCACUAAAAUUUUCAAAAUUAAAUAUUUUAGUCACUCUGAGAUUAUGUGGACCUUUUUUAUUGGUCUAGUAACAAAAUUAGCCCUCUGAUUGUUACGCAUGUUAUCAGUUUGAUCCUAAAUAUAAAAAAAAUUCAACAAAUUUAUCCCUCAAUGUUAACAAAAAUUUUCAUUUUAGUUCUAAUUCUAAAAAAUUCAAUAAAUUAGGCCGUCAAUAUUUACAAAAUUAUUAAUUUAGUCCUAACUCUAAAAAUUUAAAAAUUAUUUUUAGCCCUUUAUAACCCAUUGGCUAACUAAUGAUCCCAACAGGGUUGGACCGGGCAAUUUUUUUUAAAAAAUGAAAGGUUUUGAUACCAUUUUUUAUUAGAUUUGCUUAAUGAUUUAUCUCUGAGGUUGUGUACUAAUGUAUAUUUACACACAUGUUGAGAUUACAAUAUAGAAGAAAAAGAAGGAACAAAAUUUCCUUUAAUAAAUUAUUAAAUUAAGAAGAUAGAAAAUUGGGGAAAUAACCUUACAGGGGUGAAAGAAAAUUUGUAUAGAUGCGAUAGAAUGGGACUAGUAGUGAUAAAUUUUAGGGAUUUUUGUACUUUAAUUAACAUUAAAUAUGUAUAGAGGGUAAUUUCGUAAAUAUCUUGGAGCGAGGAGGGGUGAUUUCAUUCUAAACUCGACCUUGACUUGACUCAACCCUACUAUUUUUAAAAAUUAGCCCGCCCCAACCCUUGACUCUAAGAAAAAAACCUGUUUAGGUAAUAAUGCCGCCAAUUAUUCCAGAUAAGUUCAAAAUCAAUUGGUUUUGUUCAAUGUGAAGCCUAAAUUAUAGUAAAAGAAAUUGUUGCAAGUGGCUUGAAAAAGGGUAAUCUUUUUCUUAUUUUAAUACAUCACAUGGUUUAAUCGAUGGGUUAUAAAAUGAUAAAAUUGAAUGUUUUUUAAUUUUUAGAGUUAGGACUAAAUUGAUAGAUUUGUAAAUGUUAAGAGUCAAAUUUAUUGAUUUUUUAAGAAAUAGCACUAAAUUAACAAAUUUUAUAAAUAUUGAGGGCUAAAUUUAUUAUUUUUUAAAUAUUUAGGAUCAAAUUGAUAAAAUAUGUAUACAUUAGAGGGCUACUUUUAUUACUAGACCAAUAAAAAAACCUAUAUUAGCUCAGAAUGAUUAAAAUAUUUAAUUUCAAAAAGUUUAGUGACUAAAUUAAAAAUUUUAAUAAUUAAUAACCAAAAUAGAACGAAAAACAUAGUUGGAUGACUAUUUUUAUAUUUACCCAAAAAAUCUAAAUAUUAAAUAAAAAUAAUAAACUUAAAUGCUAUAUUAAUUUUAUAACAUAAUAAAUAAAUAAAACAAAACCCCUUAAUAUUCUGCGUGUAAGUUGCGCUGUCUUAUUUUAUUCCAUUCUUUCUUUUCUCUCUAAAUCUCAAAAAUUAAAAAUAAUAAAAAGAACCAAACCGAGCAAAUCAAAACGAAGCUAAUGUAUUCAUAAAUUUUCUCUCAUUUUCUCACACUUUCUCAUUUGUUUACCGCUAUAUUUCUUUAAGCACCAAAAUUUGCAUUUCGUGGGAGGAAGAACCCUUCGCGCUUUUUCCACCCCACCCCUCCUCUCUCUCUCUCUCUCUCUCUCUCUCUCUCUCUCUCUCUUUUUCAUUUUUCUUCUAGCACCGACGAUCAAUUUUGCAUCAGAUCUGCGGUUUCAAUUUUGAUUCAAUCAGGUUCUGGCUUUGUUUAUCUUGUUUAUUAUAUUCGUUCUUUCUUUUUUCUCACAUUCAGAUCUGCUUCAUUUAUUUAUUACAUUAUUGAUUUGGAUUUCCGUUUGGCUAUUUUUUUUUUAAAUUUUCGACGUCUAUUUUUUAAACUUUCUCCGUGUUUAGCUCAAUUAUCAUUUUGAUUAUGUUUUCCUCUUCUUUAAAUUGAUAAUGGUUGGAAAGGUUUCUUGUUUCUCUUUCUGGUUGAAUGAUUUGAGUUUUGUUUCUAAUUAUUGUAAGUUACAUUUAAAUAAAUAUUUAUUUAUUUAUUUAUUUAUUUAUUUAUUUUGUUUUUGCUUGCAAAGAUUCUUAUUGCGCGAUUACAAGAUUUAGGGAUCUGUUAAAAAUAUUUUUUGAAAUUUUAGAAAUUUUAUCCCGAUUAGCUUCUUUACUUGCCUCUAAAUGAUCUUUAUUUUUUCUUUGAAUUCUUUUAAUAAUAAAUUUUGUUCAUGUGCAUCUAAUUUUAUUCCAUUGUGGUCUUGAAAAUGGUUCAAGAUCUGAUCUUUCUUUCUGUUGUUUUUGCCUCUAAUGCGACAGGGCUGCUUCAUUGUGAACGCAGGCAACGAUGAAGAAGGCCUUGGGCCAAACUGUUAGAGACCUGUAAGUUCGUUAUUAGAUACAAAUUCCCCCUAUCUAAUUAACGUUUUUGAAUUGUUUGAAUAUUUAACAGUGUAAAGCAAUCUCUUCGUAACAAAAUUAUACUCUGAAGAAUGAUCCUUGCGAGUUUGGUCUUUUGUGAAUAUAUAUAUUUAUUGUAUUCGUGCGUCUUGGUAUUUGCUAUAUAACCAGUGCUAAAUGAUUUAUUAUUCUUUGUUCCUGCAGUAAGAGAGGAGUUAAUAAGAAAGUUCUUAAAGUUCCUGGAAUAGAGCAGAAGGUAAGAAUGUUGUUAGAAAGUUCACUGAGCAUAUGAGUACCUAAUAAUCAAUUGUUGCAUAAUUGUAAGCAUCUAUGGUUGUUUCUUGUAGAAUUAGGUUUCCCUUUGGCUAGGGGUUUAAUAGACUAUCUAGAUAUUGUUCAGUCGAUAUGAUAUGUUUUCUGAGAUAUUAAACUAUGAAUGUGAUUUUUACUUUGAUUGGCAUCAUAGUUGCCAAAAAGUAAGGGACUUUAUGGAAGAGAAGUAGGAAAUGGGAUUAUAAGUGGAAUCCAGCUUUAUUUUUUUGGUGAAGUUGUGGAGGUCCGGGGGGUUAGUGCUCAUGUCUACAUUAUGGUGAGGUGGCAAUGAGUGGAAAAAUGCUCUUGUUUUCAGAAAGAGAAACUGUAGCUUGAUUUAUUUUUUGUUAUACGAGGGGUGAUUCACUACCAGUUAGAGGCCUCUGCUUAUUCCCCUUCUCAACGAAGCGCUACUAGAAAUGGAGAAUUCUGAAAAGUGGUUAUAUGAUUUGGAAAACAAGCUUACUUAUAUUUGGUGUUGAGCUUCCUGUCACUUCCCAUUACAUGGCCGGUUUGAGCCUCUUAAGUGAACGUUUGGAUGGAAGGGUACUAAGAGGGCUGAUUCUUACAUUUGUUCUAGGACCCAAAUUUUCUAUGUAAACUACUUCUGAAGUUAGGCUAACUUCUAAUGCUGGUUGUGCUGAAUCUUGAUAGAAUAUAGUGGAUCCAACUCUUCCAUUUUAUUUUCAUUUGGUAAGAGGAGAUUGUCCUUAAAUGUAUAAAGUAAAAAUAGUUUUAUUUAACAACAGCAAUCACUAUGCAACAACAUAAGAAUAUCACCUGGAAUACAAUUAAAACUUUGUUUAUCUACUUGAAUUAGUAAUACAUUUUUAACUUGUCUUUAGGUUCUUGAUGCCACCAGCAAUGAGCCCUGGGGUCCUCAUGGGUCACUUCUUGCAGAUAUUGCAAUGGCUACUAGAAACUAGUAAGCUUUGAGAGAAAAUAUGUUUGAUUUUCAUUACUUAUUUGUCACGACUAAAUUUAUUUUGCAAAUCUCCAUGCAGUCAUGAAUACCAGAUAAUCAUGGCAGUAAUCUGGAAACGUAUAAGUGACACUGGAAAGAAUUGGCGUCAUGUCUACAAGGUCAGCAUUAUGUUGAAGGGUUAAUUGUAUUAGUGUUUGUUCUCUCUACAACUGAAAAAAGUGUUCGUCUAAAUACUCAUGUAAUUGUAAAAGUUUUAUCCUUUCACUAAAUCUCCUUCAAUUCUGCAUGGUCAUUAUGAUGGGGUGUGGUACAUUUUUUAUGCACUAUAUUUUGCUUUGUGUUUUCUGUAUAUAUUUUACUUUUCCUCCACUUCCUCCCGACAUUAAAAUAUAUCAUUGUACUAAGAUAUGUUCUUUAUUGAGCCUCAGGGUCUGACUGUUCUGGAGCACCUUGUUGCCCAUGGAUCAGAGCGUGUCAUAGAUGAUAUAAGAGAACACGCAUAUCAAAUAUCAGUAAUUGCUGUUUCUUAUGAAAUUAUUUUAUGCAGUGUUGAUAACGCUAUCUGUGGCUCACUGUGUUUAAAACUUUUGGUCUAAUUAAUGUUCCAUCUCAUGUUACAGAGUUUGUCCGACUUUCAGUACAUUGAUUCCAGUGGAAGGGACCAGGGUAGCAAUAUUCGAAAAAUAUCUCAGAGCCUUGUGGUUCUUGUAAAUGAUAAAGAAAGGAUAAUUGAAGUAAGACAGAAGGCUGCAGCCAACAAGGACAAGUGAGUCUGCAAAAAUGGCUUUAUGUUUUAAUUUCCUUGCUGUUUUCAACAUAUGACCAGCAUGUACAAAAUUGAUGAGCAUGCAUAAUUUCAUCAUGAAAUUAUGAUGAGUACUUGUGUGUUAGAGCAUAGAUGCUUUCAACAUAACAAGUAUGUGUGAAAGAGCAUGGCCAUAUUCAUACCUUUUAUUUUGCAAAAUUGACUUGAGAAUUAUUAAAAUUGUUUUUUCUCCUAAGCUGGUGGUAUAUUUUCGCCAUUUAUGGCAGUUUCUUGAGAUUUUACUUGUUCACCCAUUUAGUGGUGAAAAUAAAAUAACUAGUCUAGUCUUGCCAAAUCUACCAUGAUAUGGACAUGGUGGACUAUCUCUGGUUUCCCAUUAAAAUUUUGAAUUUAUUUUCCGCAGCCAUGGUCCUAUAUCUUUACUCUAAUAGAUAAUAUAGGUAGCAUAUGGUAUUAAGCUUAUAUAAAUGAUAUUAUGCCUUUUCUGAUUGAGUUCCAUUUCUCAAAGUUCUAAUGACAUUUCUUGCGUACGAUUACAGGUAUCCCUGUGAUUUAAUUUCUUGUCUCGAAUAAUUUGCCUUGGAAAAUCAUUUUAGAAUAUGAGAAUAUAAAUUAAUGGAAAUGUAGAAUUCUUCCGUAACGUAUAACUGUUUGUUUUACAGGUUUCGGAGCACAUCAACAGGUGGAAUGAAUAGGGCAGGUUUGGGGGGACAGGGGGACAGAUAUGAUUAUGAUUAUCAAUAUGGUUAUAGAGAUGAUGAUUGGUAUGGUAGAUAUACAGAUUCAAACAGUCGUGAUGGAGAUCGCUACAGCAGAGAUAAUGAAGAUCGCUAUGGCAGGGAUGGUUACAGGGAUGAUGACUACAAAGGUAGAAGUACAAGUGUUGAUGGUGAUCAAUAUGGCACCAGAAGUAGGAGCUCUGAUAGAGACCGUGCUUUUGAUGAUGAUGGUGAUUCAUCACGGUAUGCUUUUAUUUCCUUUUGAUACCUUUAUAUGGCUAUGUUCUUUUUAAGAGGCAUAUUAAUAUUGUUGAUUCGAUUAUUUUUUUUCUUGAUUAUUUGUUGAAGUAAAUAUCUUUCUUGUUCUGGAUUGCAAUUUACAUGGUGGAAGUUGAAUAUUUAAUAAGUUCUUUUGCACGAGAUUAGGUAAUUUUCUGCAUACAUGGUGCAUUAAUUAGUAAUUUUCUGCAUAAAGCUUCUUUCUUCAUGAGCUUUUGGGUGUUGGUUCAGUCAUUGAUGUUCUAUUUAGGAAUUUUCAUGACCCCCCCCUUUGAAUCUUAAGUAUGGUGCCUUAACCUUCAUUGAUGCUUGGCAUGAAGAAUGUAAUUAACUGUCGUCUUUGCAGGGGCAGCAAUGCUAGAGCUGAUGAUUAUUCUCAGGAUGGAAGGUAACCCUGAGUGGGUGCAUUCUUUAACUGUCUUAGUUGAUCAAUUUUUUUAACAACAAUUAUUGCUUUCUAAAUUUUCUAAAAAUUAAGUUUCUAUAGGCGGCAUGAGCAGAAGUUCUCUGAACAAAAUAAUGGUGCUCCUCCUAGUUAUGAAGCAGUAAAUGAAUCUCAUAGUCCUGUCCAUAGUGAAAGGUAUUAUUUUGUACCUUAAAUGUUUGGAGACAUAUUGCUUGCUGUUGUAUUUUUCUGUGCACUGAAAAGAUUAUUGAUGAUAGGGAUGGAGAAACUUCAGUAGCAGCUGCUCCCAGGUCAUCUUCUCCUCCUGCUAGCAAUAAUCCUAACCUAGCAACGUCUGAUUUUGGUAAUUUAGCGUCUCCUUCAAAUAAAAAUGUGGAGGCUUUCAAUGCUUUUGAUCCACGUGUUUCAGUUUCAGGUACUAUAUUUGUAAUAUAUACACCAUUGUUUGUAUGUUCCAGUGGUGUUUCCUUGAUCAUGGUUGUCUUAUGCUCAUCCAAUAAGAACUUAGUUGAUGUGGUGACGUUUUGCUUGAACAAUCACCAUGCAAAAUGUAAAUUUCUGAGUUGUUUAAGUAUUUAGUUUGAUAUCCUACAUUGGUUCACAUUCCAUUCCAUUUUUAAUUUUUUGUCCAUAAAAUUUAUGUUAGGAUGACCCCUUGUUUUCAAUUUUGACUUUCCAUUACUCAUUUAAAAUGAAAUUGUACUGAUUGGAGUCUAACAUGAUUGUAUUUGUAUGAACUAAAUCUCCUUGUGUAAAUUGGAUUCUUUUUUAUGCUAUUGCAUUUAUCCCUUUUAACCUAGAACUUACUUUUUAUCUUCUGCUCAUCUGUUUCAGCUGCCUCUGCCGGUGCUCCUGUUUCUACACCUGCCCCUGCUCCUCCCACUGCUUCAACCAGUUCUGAAAUAGACUUACUCGGUGCACUGUCAGAUUCAUGGGUGGUUGUGCCAACUCUAUCUGAAACCCCUGCUGCUGAGGCUGAUGCCCAUGCUAAAGGUUCUAUACCCUCCUUUGCUGCUAAUCCAUCAGCAUCUAACUCCGGAAAUCAGGUAGAUAUGAUUUGUUUGAGGACCUCUUAAACUCCUUUUUCUUUGCUUCAUAUACAAGGAUUUCAUCCUUCCUGUCUAAAAUAUGCCUGUUGGUGAUACCAUGAAUGCGGAUGUGCUGUUCUAUUGUAGCCUUAUCUGUUGUGAUUCAAUUCAUGUAUCUUUAAUUAGUCAGCAUGUAAAACAGCAUGAGUAGUUAAUAUUGAAGCUACUUUGUGAAUUGUUGAUAUCAUCUGUAUAUUUACUAUAGAAGGAUAACAUAAAAAGGUUUUACGGUGAAUUUAAAAAGGUAUAUAAAGGCGAAAUCUUAUUUUGAAUUAUAUCACUUAACUGAUUAUGAAAAUAAUCAUCUUCUAGAUUUUGCUCUAAUUCGUCCCUCUAUCCUAUCCAUCCCCAUUAUUUUGCCUCUAAACGUCGUCUUUAUUCUUUGAUUCCAGUGGACAUCAAUGUGCUCUGAAUAUUUGUUGUAAUUCUGUUGUUAGGGAAUAAGGUUUGUUCUUGAUACAGGGUUUUGAUGAUCCAUUUGGUGAUGGUCCUUUUAAAGCUUUCCCUUCGGGGGAUGCUGCCUCAGCUCAGCAACAAAUAUCGACUCCCGCGAGUACUUUCCAGGCUAAAAUGAGCCAAAUUAUGGAAGCUGCUCAGCCACCUUCUGUAAAAUCUGAGAUUGUCACGGGCUUCGACUUCGGGGAAUCAUUCUCUGCCAGUGCUUACUCCACUCUCAAUGCCUCAAACAGUCAACCUCCCUCAGGAAAUUCACAGUUUUUGCCUCAAGAUUUGUCGGAUCCAAAUCAGGAAGAUGAUAUAUUGGCAGAAAUCCUUCCACCCUCUGGACCUGCAAAUGAUGUAGCUUCACAUACAGUCUUUUCAGCACCAUCCAGCCAAUCAUCACUACCUGUAGCUACUUAUGGCCAGCAUGCACAAUCAGGUGCUAAUAUGUACCAACCCGCGCAGCCAAGUGCGAAUCCAUAUGGCCAGCUUGCUCAGCCCAGUGCUAAUCCAUAUGGCCAAAAUGGGCAACCAAGUGCUGAUCCCUAUGGCCAGCCUGCGCAGCCCAGUGCUAAUCCAUAUGGCCAAAAUGGGCAACCAAGUGCUAAUCCCUAUGGCCAGCCUGCGCAGCCCAGUGCUAAUCCAUAUGGCCAAAAUGGGCAACCAAGUGCUAAUCCCUAUGGCCAGCCUGCGCAGCCCAGUGCUAACCCAUAUGGCCAAAAUGGGCACUCAAGUGCUAAUCCCUAUGGCCAGCCUGUGCAGCCCAGUGCUAACCCAUACAGCCAAAACGGGCAGCCAAGUGCUAAUCCCUAUGGCCUGCCUGCGCCACCCAGUGCAAACCCAUAUGGCCAGUCAAGUGCUAAUCCCUAUGGCCAGCCAACACAACCAAAUGCUAUUCCUUAUGGUCAAUCUGCACAACCAAAUGCUAAUCCGUAUGGUCAACCUGCACAACCAAAUGCUAAUCCAUACAGCCAACCUGUACAGGUACAUGCUAAUCCAUAUGGCCAACCUGCUCAGCCGAAUGCUAAUCCAUACAGCCAGCCUACACAGCCGAAUGCUAAUCCAUACAGCCAGCCUACACAGCCGAAUGCUAAUCCAUACGGCCAACCUGUACAGCCAAGUGC
This 24571-nucleotide long non-coding RNA is filed under the name Gossypium barbadense (sea-island cotton). RNAcentral describes it as "long non-coding RNA (GBAR_LNC019913)". The stretch from base 14349 to 14455 matches the Rfam family "Plant small nucleolar RNA R71". The record is from RNAcentral. Lineage: Eukaryota; Viridiplantae; Streptophyta; Magnoliopsida; Malvales; Malvaceae.